GGUAGACAGCUAAGUUGUCACAAACUGUGUAAAU
RNAcentral lists this unclassified non-coding RNA (34 nucleotides) under Mus musculus (house mouse). RNAcentral describes it as "partial probably derived from hnRNA or mRNA fragment, protein coding region". Lineage: Eukaryota; Metazoa; Chordata; Mammalia; Rodentia; Muridae. The record is from RNAcentral.